RNAcentral lists this ribosomal RNA (449 nucleotides) under uncultured Rhodocyclaceae bacterium. RNAcentral describes it as "bacterial SSU rRNA". It matches the Rfam family "Bacterial small subunit ribosomal RNA", at positions 933 to 1382 of the family's 1533-position model. Lineage: Bacteria; Pseudomonadati; Pseudomonadota; Betaproteobacteria; Rhodocyclales; Rhodocyclaceae. The record is from RNAcentral.
UGGAUGAUGUGGAUUAAUUCGAUGCAACGCGAAAACCUUACCUACCCUUGACAUGUCCGGAAUCCCGAAGAGAUUUGGGAGUGCUCGCAAGAGAGCCGGAACACAGGUGCUGCAUGGCUGUCGUCAGCUCGUGUCGUGAGAUGUUGGGUUAAGUCCCGCAACGAGCGCAACCCUUGUCAUUAGUUGCCAUCAUUUGGUUGGGCACUCUAAUGAGACUGCCGGUGACAAACCGGAGGAAGGUGGGGAUGACGUCAAGUCCUCAUGGCCCUUAUAGGUGGGGCUACACACGUCAUACAAUGGAUGGUACAAAGGGUCGCCAACCCGCGAGGGGGAGCCAAUCCCAUAAAGCCAUUCGUAGUCCGGAUCGCAGUCUGCAACUCGACUGCGUGAAGUCGGAAUCGCUAGUAAUCGUGGAUCAGAAUGUCACGGUGAAUACGUUCCCGGGUCUU